Molecule: ribosomal RNA, 484 nt
Filed under: uncultured bacterium
Lineage: Bacteria
Description: partial 16S ribosomal RNA
Rfam family: Bacterial small subunit ribosomal RNA
Source: RNAcentral
AUUGAACGCUGGCGGCAGGCCUAACACAUGCAAGUCGAGCGGAUGAAGGGAGCUUUCUCCUGUAUUCAGCGGCGGACGGGUGAGUAAUUCCUAGGAAUCUGCCUUGUAGUGGGGGAUAACGUCCGUAAACGGGCGCUAAUACCACAUACGUCCUGAUGUAGAAAGUGAUGGAUCUUCGGACCUCACGCGAUCAGAUGAGCCUAGGUCGGAUUAGCUAGUUGGUGGGGUAAAGGCCUACCAAGGCGACGAUCCGUAACUGGUCUGAGAGGAUGAUCAGUCACACUGGAACUGAGACACGGUCCAGACUCCUACGGGAGGCAGCAGUGGGGAAUAUUGGACAAUGGGCGAAAGCCUGAUCCAGCCAUGCCGCGUGUGUGAAGAAGGUCUUCGGAUUGUAAAGCACUUUAAGUUGGGAGGAAGGGCAGUAAGUUAAUACCUUGCUGUUUUGACGUUACCAAAAGAAUAAGCACCGGCUAACUUCGUG